Molecule: long non-coding RNA, 279 nt
Filed under: Brassica napus (rape)
Lineage: Eukaryota; Viridiplantae; Streptophyta; Magnoliopsida; Brassicales; Brassicaceae
Description: long non-coding RNA (BNAP_LNC023282)
Source: RNAcentral
GGUGGUUACAUAGCCGUGGAUAAGAAAUAGUGGUUAAGAAAUAGAGGUUAGACAUGUAUGUUAGGGAAAAAUUGUUAUUGUUGUGGACGUGAUUGUUGUGGUUGGGGUACAAAAAAUAUAAAGUUUCUAGCACAUAUAGUAUGGAUGUGAUACGGUGGAUAGGUCAAAUAUCUUAACUUGAUAAGCAUACAUAAUGUUUCAUAAUAUAAAAGAUCUAAAACCUGCGGAUAUUACAAAAGCAUACAUAAUGUUUGGGAAGGGAGGAAUAGACAGGCAUGA